GCGCUCGGUGGUCCCCUUGAUCUGUCUCUUGCUUCAACAGUGUUUGGAUGGAACAGACCCAGGGAUGCCCUUUGCUCCAGCCUCUGACCACCCUCCAACCCUUUUUCCAGUCGCAACCUUCAGAGUCAGCCACUCAGCUAUCCUUGGUCACCGGGACCAGCCAACACCAUUUUUUGAGCUUAACUCCUUAUUACCGAUCAACCAUGAGCUCCCAGAUUCAUCAGAAUUAUUCCACCGAGGUGUAGGCCACCGACAACCACCUGGUCAACAUGCGUCUGCAGGCCUCCUACACCUACCUCUCUCUGGGCUUCUAUUUUGACCUCGACGAUGUGGCUCUGGAGGGCGUGGGCCACUUUUCCCGCGAAUUGACCAAAGAGAGGCGUGAGGGUGCCGAGUGUCUCUUGAAAAGGCAAAACCAGCACAGUGGCCGUGCCGUCUUCCAGAACGUGCAGAAGCCAUCUCAGGAUGAGUGGGGUAAAACCCAGGAUGCUAUGGAAGCCGCCAUUAACAUGAAGAAGAACCUGAACCAGGCCCAUUUGGAUCUGCAUGCCCUGGGUUCUGCCCGCGCAAACCCACACUUCUGCAACUUCCUGGAGAGCCACUUGCCAGAUGAGGAGGUGAAACUCAUCAAGAAGAUAGGUGACCACCUGACCAACUUCUGCAGGCUGGCUGGUCCCCAGGCUGGGCUGGGCGAGUAUCUCUUCGAAAGGCUUACCGUCAAGUAUGACUAGGAGCCUCUGGAGCCCAGUGGCCUUUGAGGAGCCCCUUUGGUGUCAGGGCUUCUGCCUGAAGCCCGUCUCUGCAGCCACCAGGCAGUUUUUAACCACCCUGGAGCCCUCUCCCAAGCCUUGGACCAAAUGGAAACAAUAAAGCUUUUUGCAGCAG
Delphinapterus leucas (beluga whale) is the source of this 885-nucleotide non-coding RNA. The record is from RefSeq and is a predicted model, not a curated record. Lineage: Eukaryota; Metazoa; Chordata; Mammalia; Artiodactyla; Monodontidae.